This 67-nucleotide small RNA is filed under the name Lysinibacillus xylanilyticus. RNAcentral describes it as "Bacillaceae-1 RNA". It matches the Rfam family "Bacillaceae-1 RNA". The record is from RNAcentral. Lineage: Bacteria; Bacillati; Bacillota; Bacilli; Caryophanales; Bacillaceae.
AAUAGAGGCACGAAGGCUAAAACCAUCACGUCCUGUGAUAACGCCUUCGUGACCAACAUCAUGUUGG